Molecule: ribosomal RNA, 216 nt
Filed under: uncultured bacterium
Lineage: Bacteria
Description: partial 16S ribosomal RNA
Rfam family: Bacterial small subunit ribosomal RNA
Source: RNAcentral
GGAAAGCGCACGUAGGCGGAUUGGUCAGUUAGGUGUGAAAUCUCUGAGCUCAACUCAGAAACUGCCGUUGAUACUAUUAGUCUUGAAUAUCGAUGAGGUAGGCGGAAUAUGUCAUGUAGCGGUGAAAUGCUUAGAUAUGACAUAGAACACCGAUUGCGAAGGCAGCUUACUAAACGAUCAUUGACGCUGAGGCACGAAAGCGUGGGGAUCAAACAG